This is a non-coding RNA of Delphinapterus leucas (beluga whale), 1779 nucleotides long. The record is from RefSeq and is a predicted model, not a curated record. NCBI's taxonomy places the organism in Eukaryota, Metazoa, Chordata, Mammalia, Artiodactyla, Monodontidae.
UGCGCUGGGGAAGCUCCCAUUACGCAGAGCGCGCGUAGGCAGCGCUGACCUUUCUGCUUCCCAGCUUCCCGGGUCCGGGUCGCUGAGCAGACGUGGUUGUGCUCUUUCCGCCUUGCUUUUGUUUUCUUGGUUUCAGUCCCUGGUUUUGCAAGUAGUUCCUCGUUCCCGGUAAGCGGGAAACGCGGACUGCGUUACCUAUGUUUGAAAUUGGGUUUACACGUUUGGAAAGCAAGAAGGGGUUACUCUGCUGGAACAGUUUGACGUUGCACGUAAGGGGUUUUAUACCUUACGGUUCCACGAGCUCCCACCGUAUCUGGUAUGUAGAAGAGAGGGACAAAGAAACGCGGAGGCUCAGGAAGGUUGGUUGCCCACCUCUUCUUUCCACCACAGAAUUCUGCCUCUAGAAAAGCAGGAGGAAGAGUAGCCACGCAAAGGAUCUAGUGGAACAUUGUCUCUUAAGGAAACUCUCUGGUGUAUGCUUCAAGAUAAAAUGAUCACAAAAUAAAUGCCUAGGUUAGCGUGGGGUUUCUGUCCAGACCGGCUGCACCAUGUCGAAGGUUUCCUUCAAGAUCACACUGACGUCGGACCCGCAGCUGCCGUACAAAGUACUCAGUGUUCCCGAAAGUACACCUUUUACAGCAGUCUUAAAGUUUGCAGCAGAAGAAUUUAAAGUUCCUGCAGCAACAGGUGCAGUUAUUACCAAUGAUGGAAUAGGAAUAAAUCCUGCACAGACUGCUGGAAAUGUUUUUCUAAAGCACGGUUCAGAACUGCGAAUAAUUCCUAGAGAUUGUGUUGGAAGUUGUUAAUGUCUGCUGCUUGGAACAUAAAAUCCCCUUCCAGAAUAAAUAUUGGUAUUUUUAUUGUUGUAAAAUUGGAGUCAGGCAUUUGAAAUCCUAUGAAAACACCAAUAGUUGAUGAAGUAAUGAAAGGUAACUCUCUGUCCCUUCUUGUUGUUCACACUCUUCACGUGAAGAGGGGACACUUCUCUGUUGAGGGUGUCAUCACCAUAGAAGAUCACAUUACUACCUCACAGCACACACAGGUGGUUCGUUGAGGGUAAAUGGAUUAUCCACCUGUAUCAUAACUGGCGGAUGCUUCUGAUCAUUCUUUCUGAGAACAUUUGGAAAAUUAAAAUUUACUGAAUCUUCCUAUUUGUCUUUGAGUUAAAAAUGUAAAAACUUAUCAAUCCAUACGUGGCAGUUUGCUUGAUAGCAUCUGACUUGCAGACACAAAAAUAGUUGAAUUCUUCAUUAUAUAUCAUUUAUGAUAAAGGAUCACAUCAAUGAAUAACUGUCUUUUUAUCAUUUAGCUUGUUUUAAAGUUUCAAACUUCGUGAGUUCUUAUAAAUUUUAAUUUAAAAUUCAAAUAGCCAAAAAUUGAAUUUUUGAUCUAGCCCCUAUGUGUAACAUUGGUAUCCCAUGCCAAAGAGUUUGAGACUAAAGUAGAAGCAUCAGUUGCUGAAUUAUGCGUUCCUUUAUUGAUCUUUUUAAAAAAACCUUUAAAACAGAAAUCCUAAUAUCCUAGAAUAUUAGGAUAAUAUUUCCAAAUAACGUUCGGGGAGAAAGUAUUGUUGUAAAGAAGAUCUGUUGUUCACAACAGAGCUCAAGGAAAUGCUAACUGAAAUGCUCACUAAUUCUACCUACUGAAGACCCAACAUUUAAGGAAGUGUUAAGAUUAGUUACUGGAGUGAAUAAGAAGCUAGGAAAGGCAGAUGGGGAAGCCCAGAUGACCAGGCUUCUAGUAAGAAGGAAAGAAACAAAAAUGAAGGGGAGCAGAAAG